UACGUAGGGCGCAAGCGUUGUCCGGAAUUAUUGGGCGUAAAGAGCUCGUAGGCGGUUUGUCGCGUCUGCUGUGAAAACCUAAGGCUCAACCUUGGGCUUGCAGUGGGUACGGGCAGACUAGAGUGCGGUAGGGGUGACUGGAAUUCCUGGUGUAGCGGUGGAAUGCGCAGAUAUCUGGAGGAACACCGGUGGCGAAGGCGGCAUCCUGGACCGACACUGACACUGAGGAGCGAAAGCCAGGGGAGCAAACGGG
RNAcentral lists this ribosomal RNA (253 nucleotides) under uncultured bacterium. RNAcentral describes it as "partial 16S ribosomal RNA". It matches the Rfam family "Bacterial small subunit ribosomal RNA", at positions 524 to 776 of the family's 1533-position model. The record is from RNAcentral.